ACAUACGACCAUAGGGUGUGGAAAACAGGGCUUCCCGUCCGCUCAGCCGUACUUAAACCACACGCCGGCACGUUAGUAGUUGGGUGGGUGACCACCAGCGAAUCCGUGCUGUUGUAUGUU
This 120-nucleotide ribosomal RNA is filed under the name Aspergillus terreus NIH2624. The record is from RNAcentral. Lineage: Eukaryota; Fungi; Ascomycota; Eurotiomycetes; Eurotiales; Aspergillaceae.